UCGACGGUUCGGCCUUAUCUCUAAGCUAGCUCUAACCUCUCAGUCAGUCAUCUCACUCCCUCAGCCACUCAGUCUCAGUCUUCCUAUUCGUAAUCUCGAACCGCUGAACCGCCGACCCACAGCUUUGCUUCGACCCACUGGAUUUUAGUAUUUUACUCUUAAUAUGGCCACUGAUGAUUCGAGUCAUUUGACAAUGGAGAAAGAAAUUGUUCCAGCUUCUGAAAAAGAAGGAAAAGAUGGGUUUUAGUUUAGGAUUCUUGGUCGGCAUCUUUGGAGUUCUAAUUCUCUCUCAUGCCGCUUAAUCAACUGUUCAGUGCUGGUCUUUAAUCCUAUAAUCAAGAAGCUGAGAAAACCAAGACUUUUGCUACUCCCAAAGACAGAGGUUUGGACUGGAAACAAAGAGGAAAGUUGGGGAUUGAACAUUACGUAUAUUGAGGGAGUCACUACUAAAAAAAAUUGCAAUUGCUUCGCCUUUUUACUUCGGCAACAGUUGCCGUCGCAAUUGAGACCCUAUUGCUACGGAAAAUCUUCCGUCGCGAUUAAACUUUAUCAUUUGCGACGGAAAAUGUUUGCCGUAGUAACUCUGCAAUCAAUUGCGACGAACUUUUCUCGUACGGUCGUAAACUUUUCUCUUACUCUUGGCGCUAACCCAAUUAUUUUCCCCCUGUUUUUACUUUUGGCCAAAGUUCCCACCAACAAUACAGCCCUAAUUCUUUAUCCCUCUUUUUCCCAAACAACACCUCUCUCUCUCCCCCUCCCUCCCCAAGCUUUGUAGCUCCUCGAACUGGAACUUACCGCAGAGAUCGACGAGGUCCGCACCGUAACCUACCGCCAACAGUGACGAGCUCCUCCGUCGACGUUAACGAGGUCUGCGCGCCGGAACAUACCACCGAGACUGACGAGCUCCUCCUUUCCAUCGAAUAGCUCCUCCUUCACCAAAUAAACUGUAACAACAGCUCUCUCACACCCCAGACACAACAAAUCCAGAUCAAUAUCUCUAGGAAUCUAAGGUAAAUCCCUUUGUUCUUUCCAUUUGUCUCUUGUUGAAUAUUAAUAUUUAUAGUCUUAGUUUAGUUUGAGAUUGGGCUCUGUUAAUUCAAUUGGUUGUAUAUGAGAGGUCAAUAUUUAGAUUGUGAGUUCAAUUUUGAUAUGAAACUAAUUGGGCACAAAUUCAAAUUUGAGCACCAGUGGCCAAUCCUCCUGGAUUAUCUUCAUGUUUAGUAAAUAGAUGGGUAUCUUUCUCUUAGACAUCGAUACAUUGACGAGUUUGAGGUUGAGCUUGAUUUGAUGGGGUCAGAACUUGACCUAUACAUUUGGGGUUUCUUCUUGCAUGCAACUUAAAUUAAUGAUGCAUCAGAUCGUAAAUUUAAGUGUUCUUCUGGAUUUUAUAGGGCUACUGUAUACUAAUGGUAUCUAAAUUAACUAAAGGUCAGCAGUAGACUAAAAUAAUAGAGCUCAGAAUAACUAAAUAAACUUCUUUUGCAAGUAUGCGUGCAGAUUGAACGAGGUCUCAUAGAAUAACCUAGUUGCUCAUUGUUAGAUAGAUAUAUGAUUGAAAGUUAAAGUGCCAUUUACAAGUGUUGACUGAAUUAUUUUGUGAGGAAGGCUGUAAUCUUCUGUUCAUAUUUUGCAGGACCAGCCCAGAACUUCUGCUAAAUCCUGUGAGAACCAUCUUUACAUAGUAAAAAAACAUAGUUUUCUUAUACCACCCUUCCUACUUUAAUGGUUAUGUUUGCAAAAGAUGGUUUUUUUUUUUUUCAUAUAUGUGGUUUCUACUGCCUUGUCUUGUGCAAGGACUGACAUUCUUUUUUCUUUCCCACACUUAAUCUAAAUAAGCAUAUGUAAACUUUGUUGUAUCAGUUUCAAAGUUUGGCAAAGAUAGUUCCUAUUCGUGCCUAAGCUUUAUUAGCAAUAUCUUUACCAUUUUUAGACAAAUUCUCUGAGUAGGGAUGAAGAAUUUCAGAGUUAAACAGGCAUAUAAAAGGUGGAAGUUAGAGCUAAUAAAGUGGAAACAUCCUGAGCAGUUCCUCUCCAUUUUUGUUUUAAUAUUGUUCUUGUGGAAACAUACUUUUGAGUAUUCAUGCCAUAUAGUAGGAACAGCUUUUUUUGCUAGGUUCCGAAAUGUAGUCUUCACCUGAAAAGUUAAUCUAUAGACUUCAUAGUUUAAGCUACAGCUUACAGGAAUUUAAAAUUGUCAGUGAACACAUAAAACUCGGAAAUUCUGGAAAAAGAAUUUUGUUACCUAGCUUGUUAAGGUUGUUUCUCCAGGAGUUUGACAUCAGUCUUUUGUUCAUGGAAUUGCUAUUACAGGUUUUGAUAUGUCAAAAUGAGGCUGAAAAAUGCUUAAUUGAGACAUCUAUUAGUUCCCUUCGUAUAAGCCUCAAGGUGAGUAUCCAUAUUUGAAUGGUUUUUAGUAAUGUAAGUGAGAGUUGGAACUAUGGCUUUCUGAGUUUGAAAUUAUUUAAAUAAAUCACUACUUUUGGUUGGAUUUUUUUAUUUCUUUCGUCUGCUCGUCUGAACAACCUAAAAACAACUGUAUCUUUCCACUCAGUUGUUAUAGACCUUUCUCAAUAAACCUGUUUUAUAGAGGGUUUAUAUUGGGGACAUCUAUAUGUACUUAUGCUUUCUGUGAACCUUAUUGGUGGAUAAUUUCUGAAAUUUCUAUUCACAUUUGAUCCAACUAAUUGGAACAUUACUAUUUUCAGUCUUCAAAUAAAGUUUAAUAUGUGAAUGAUCGAUGAAGUGGUCAAAAAUAGUAAAGGUUAUAUAGUGAUAUGUAAAGUUCUAGCAAAAUAAUACACAGAACACACUAUUUCCAAUUAUUAAACAAUGUAGUUAAGGGAAGGGGCAGAAAGUGCACUCAAUCUGACAACAAUUCCAUCUUCUCAUUCAUGGAAUCAACAAGUUUUUAGUGUUAGUUUCCUUUAAGUGGAAACUUUGAUUAGAGACUUGGAAUAUCAAUUUUUCUGCAGCCUUAUGUUUACAGUUUAUUCCUCCUUUUAGAGAGGUUCUAUAGUGUAAUAUAGUAUCCUUUGUAUACCAGAACCGUGUGGUAGGUUUCUUGUUUAUGGAGGCAAGGUCCCAACUCUAUUGGAUGUAGAUUAGGUACAUUAGUUUAACGGUUCAUGAUCAUUGAAAACGAUGUCUUUACAUUGCUGUACUUGGAACUUUGCAUUCUUUUAAGUUACUACUUCUAUUUAAUGUAGGCAUAUAACAUUACAUUAUCUUGCAUUAUACAGGAAUAAGUCCUCUGAUGUGCGAACUCUUUCUAAGAGAAAGAUACAUUGAUUUCUAGAUUGAUGUAUUAUAAUCUGCCAUAUGGCUAGUUGGUUCAUGCUUACUCGAUCACAUUAGCAUCUGCCAUAAUACUAGCAGGCCUAAAGAUUGGGAGAAAGUCCCUGAUCCUAAGAAGUAUUUUGUCCAAUUUUUUGGAACAGAAGAGAUCAGAGAACACCAUCCAUUAGUUGAAAAGGCAGCUCAUUAGCAAGUCAGUAGUGAAGAAUCUGGAGUUGAUUUUGGCAAUCCAAAGCCAAGAGCUUGAUAUUAGCAGAUAAUGAGUCUGCCAAAGCAUCAAGACAACAGCUUAAAGAAGCUAGAAAAAAAAAGCUCAAGUUUCCUAGGCAUAAGCUAGCAUACAGUUACUUUGGUGCUGCAAUUCUUUAUCUUCCUGAACUAGUACAUAGGUGCCACAAUCUUUGUGAAGAAAUUCUAUUCAAUGUGCCACGAUGGGCUUUAGUUAUUUAUUUCGCUAAUAUGAGGUUGUAAUUGUUGAUUGGUUUAGUUAUAAUGGAUAUUUGUAGUUUAACUUUAGAUGCAUGUAUAAUAGUUUUCAUUUUUGCAUGUUCUUAGAAUGAAAAUAUGGUGCAAUUUUCACCAUAUUUUUUUUUUAAAAAAAAAUUCGUUUUUUGCGACGGCAAGGUUACCGUCGCAAAUACCUCCACAUGGAUUAUCCUAAAACAGACAUUGCGACGGAAGUCACCGUAGCAAAUGGGCCGUCGCAAAACAAUAAAUUUGCAACGGCAAGAGAAAACCGUCGCAAAAAAGUAUUUGCGACGGCAAAUUGCCGUAGCAAUUGGAUUUUGUGACGCCACCUAUUGCAACGCCUGUCUUGCCGUCGCAAAAACCUCAAUUUACCGUCGCGAAAAGUUUUUGCCGUCGCAAAAGCUCAAUUUGCCGUCGCAAAAUAGGCGUCGCAAAAGCAAUUGUU
Molecule: long non-coding RNA, 4207 nt
Organism: Rosa rugosa (rugosa rose)
Lineage: Eukaryota; Viridiplantae; Streptophyta; Magnoliopsida; Rosales; Rosaceae
Exons: 7
Source: RefSeq, a predicted model, not a curated record